CGGGACGUGGUGCAUCGGUAGCAUGCUACUUUUGGGAAGUAGAGGUACAGGGUUCAAUUCCCUGCGUCCCGACCA
This 75-nucleotide transfer RNA is filed under the name Minisyncoccota bacterium. Its description in RNAcentral is "tRNA-Pro". It matches the Rfam family "tRNA". Rfam says of the family: Transfer RNA (tRNA) molecules are approximately 80 nucleotides in length. Their secondary structure includes four short double-helical elements and three loops (D, anti-codon, and T loops). Further hydrogen bonds mediate the characteristic L-shaped molecular structure. tRNAs have two regions of fundamental functional importance: the anti-codon, which is responsible for specific mRNA codon recognition, and the 3' end, to which the tRNAs corresponding amino acid is attached (by aminoacyl-tRNA synthetases). tRNAs cope with the degeneracy of the genetic code in two manners: having more than one tRNA (with a specific anti-codon) for a particular amino acid; and 'wobble' base-pairing, i.e. permitting non-standard base-pairing at the 3rd anti-codon position. Lineage: Bacteria; Bacillati; Minisyncoccota. The record is from RNAcentral.